Molecule: ribosomal RNA, 184 nt
Filed under: uncultured bacterium
Lineage: Bacteria
Description: partial 16S ribosomal RNA
Rfam family: Bacterial small subunit ribosomal RNA
Source: RNAcentral
UAGGGAAUCUUCCACAAUGGACGAAAGUCUGAUGGAGCAACGCCGCGUGAGUGAAGAAGGGUUUCGGCUCGUAAAGCUCUGUUGGUAGUGAAGAAAGAUAGAGGUAGUAACUGGCCUUUAUUUGACGGUAAUUACUUAGAAAGUCACGGCUAACUACGUGCCAGCAGCGCGGUAAUAGUAGUGU